Molecule: ribosomal RNA, 253 nt
Filed under: uncultured bacterium
Lineage: Bacteria
Description: partial 16S ribosomal RNA
Rfam family: Bacterial small subunit ribosomal RNA
Source: RNAcentral
GACGGAAGGUGCAAGCGUUGCUCGGAAUCACUGGGCGUAAAGGGUGCGUAGGCGGCCGUGCAAGUCUGGCGUGAAAGCCCCGGGCUCAGCCCGGGAAGUGCGCUCGAAACUGCGCGGCUCGAGUGCCGGAGGGGAGAGUGGAAUUCCUGGUGUAGCGGUGAAAUGCGUAGAUAUCAGGAGGAAUACCGGUGGCGAAGGCGGCUUUCUGGACAGUAACCGACGCUGAGGCGCGAAAGCUAGGGGAGCAAACAGG